Molecule: long non-coding RNA, 341 nt
Filed under: Olea europaea (common olive)
Lineage: Eukaryota; Viridiplantae; Streptophyta; Magnoliopsida; Lamiales; Oleaceae
Description: long non-coding RNA (OEUR_LNC001994)
Source: RNAcentral
AACAGGCGCAAUGAUAGACCUCGUAACUUCGAUAGAUCAAGAAACUUUGAGAGAAGAAGGGACAUGCAGAUGGCUAAUCAGAACUCUGGAGCCAAUAUGGGCGGUCCAGCUGGUCGCAUGGGAAGCCCACCAAACAUGGGUGCACCACCUAAUAUGGGAGGAAUGCAGCAGCCGCCCAACACGGUUGCACCACCUAAUAUGGGUGGAAUGCAGCAGCCGCCCAACAACCCAGGAGGUAUGCAGCAGCUGCCGAACCACCCGGGAGGUAUGCAGCAGCAGCAUCCCAACAUGGGAGGACCCCCAAAUAAUAUGGGUAGUUACCCCCCGAAUAACAUGGGAGG